UGUAACACGUUUAGCCAAAACGUGAGUAUACAAUACUUAUUUGUAAAUUUACACCUAACUAAUUACUUACACUUGGUUUACAUCAAAUACUUAACUGGACGUUACUCACGUCCGUUAGGUAUACAAUAAAUCCGUAAAGAACACCAUACUUUUCUUAUUCUUCUGCAACAAAUGCCUACCAUACUUUUGUUCUCCGACAAAACCCGUGAGCUGAUUGAGAUCGAAAAAUAGGAAAUGGAUAGAGAAAUUCAGAGUUGGAGAUGGAAUUGAGUGUUACCACUGCUCAACAGACGGAGAUUGGAAUGGGAUCUGAGAUUGAUGUUGAGAGAUGAAAUAGAACGCAGAGAGAUGAUGAGAAAUAAGAGAAAACCAUGGGAAAUUGAGAUGAUAAUGGAGAUUGAAGAUGGGUAUUGUUUCUGCUACCGUGAUUUGGUGUUGUCACUGCAGGGAAAGAACAGUUAGGUUUAUGCAAUGAAGUUCGAUUAGGAAGAAUUGGUUGAUGUUUGAUUCAGGUUUAAAUCGAAUUUGGGUUCGAUCUGUACUGUAUUGAGCAGAGAAGAAAGGAUUUGAUGUUGCUGCUUCUGGUGCCGGUGAUCGAAUGGAGACAUGGAAUUGAUCAGAGAAGGAAGAGAUCGAUGGAGGCAGAGAUUUACUGCUGUAAAAUGUAUGGGUACGAGGUUGAAUCGAUGGGAUCUGUUGAAGAUAAUAAACCCGCUGCUGCUGAGAAGAAAUGGGUUGCGAGUGAAAUUGCUUGAUUAUGGUUUGGAUUAGAUGUAUGUUAGGAUUUUAAUCAGCAGAAACUGAUUCAUUAAAGGGAAGAUGAUAAUCACAAGGGAGAUGAAUUGAUGGACAGUCAGAUUGAAGAUGGGUUCUGUCAAUUGAAUGGACUCAACAAUGAAGCUGGUAUUUAGGAGGUGUUAGUUUCAAUGCUUUCGAAAUGCAGAACAAUUUCAUUAGUAAUCCACAAGUAAGCUACUAAGAUCUAUUAUCAGGUUUGUUAUAUCAAAGAUAGCUUGCUGUGCUCAAGAGCCGUCUAAUGGAAUAAGGCUUUGCACAGUUGCAACGAACCAUUGCAGAGAUUUGUUGUAGUGUGUACAUCACCCUGUGUGGGGAUAAAUCAAUCAAUGAUCUCAGUCGUCACAUACACCAUUCCAGAAUUGAGAAACCACCUGUCGUGGCCAUGGACUAUGUUAAAAAGGACCAAGUGAUGUUCCUGAGAUAGAGCAGGAAUUGAUGAUGCCGGAGAUGUGAAUUCGAUCUCAAGUGGGUUUUGAAUGAAGCAGCUUGAAGAAGAUGGUGAGUUUAUGGUUGUUUGUCAGCAAAAGAGAGCAAAGUACUGAAGCCCUGUUACAGAAUCGAAUUGAUUGAAUUAGGUGAAUGUUUAGGAAUUGCAGGCAAGUGAAGAAUACAAAGGCCGGAAGUGGCUGAAUAUUCAUCAGAUUACAGCCAAGGCAUUCUGGUCAGACGAGUCGAUUCAGCGACUCGGAUACCUUCAACUCAGACCAGUCACCCGUGUUAAACCUCUGACUCAAUAGCUGACUUGACCCCUUUGACCGUUCGUCUGCCGUUAUCUCGACUGCUGACUAUAACGGACAGUGACGGCAUAUUCUGUCAGAUGAGAAGAAUCUCAAGUGUCCGGCAGUGACUUUUUCGGCAAGUUUUCGGUGACCCUAUAGAUUUUUCCGGUGACCCGAAAGUAGAUAAUUCUGUGUAAGUUUUUCUCAUGGGUUUGAAUACAUAAUUUGAAAAUUGGAUGAAAA
Molecule: long non-coding RNA, 1760 nt
Organism: Papaver somniferum (opium poppy)
Lineage: Eukaryota; Viridiplantae; Streptophyta; Magnoliopsida; Ranunculales; Papaveraceae
Exons: 4
Source: RefSeq, a predicted model, not a curated record